UAGAAAGUUUAUAUUUGCAGAGUUGAGGU
RNAcentral lists this non-coding RNA (29 nucleotides) under Rattus norvegicus (Norway rat). The record is from RNAcentral. Lineage: Eukaryota; Metazoa; Chordata; Mammalia; Rodentia; Muridae.